AUAGUUGAGCUGAUUAACUAUAACUAUUUUUACUGUAACUCUUUCACUACUCCUAUCUAUAUUAAAGUAUUAGAGCCCACAUUCACUUAUUCACGCCUAUAUAAUUUUGGGAGUAUUUCAGAUAAACAUUCUCCUUUCUUUCAGUGCAAUCAGCAAAUUUACUUGAAACAAAAUAUUCCCACCUACCCAAAUAAUUCAUCCAAUUAAUUGCUGAUACUGCUUUUGAUCCAGCAGAAGACCCAUAAAUCUUACAUUUAACUUGAUAACUAAAUUUUCCCAUUUUACUGUCCCUUUACUGUUUUUUCAAGGAAGAAUAUUGAAGCUAAGCAAUAACAAAUUCCAAAUCUCCUCUGGCAUUGGCAGCAAUUCCCUUCUUCAGUGUGAAUGGCAGAUGCUAAGUCAUUUCAGAAAAGGGAAGGAUACAAGCUGGCCAGUCCCUCUCCUCUGAAGUCUGAGGAACUAAUGCUACACAUACUACAGCACAAUGAUAAUUCUGUCAGCAGUCUCAAUCCAACAUGCCUUUGGAUCCUUGCUGCAUUGUUCUCCCCAGCAGUCACUAUCAUUCCUCUCUCCAGGUUCACCCUACAGCCUUAAAUUUUGCAACAGAUAAAGGACAUGGUGAGUAAACGCUGUCAAACAUACUGUUGGUACACGUAUCAAAAACGUACAUCUUUGGUAAGUUUGCUUAGGUUUAGUGCAUCCAGUUGCUGUAUUUUGUGUACCAUAAACUUUACUACUAAUAUGCAAAAUACUUUUCUAAUGCUGAUGUAGAUGUUUCAUGUGCUUUAGAAUACCUGUAAUAUUUUCUGGGACCUGUGCCAAAGUUAAGAUUGUAACCUGCAUCAACUAUCACACUACUAGCAGAUAUCACAAAAUGGUAGUUCUAAGCAUUGGAGUUCACAUACUUCUUUUUAUUCUUUAAAAAACCCAAAAAACAACAGCCAGAAGUAAGAUAAGACAUUUUAUUCUGACAAUUUGGACAGUAGCAUAGCAAAUGAAUUAAGUAACACACUCGAUGGAAAGAUGUAAUGGCAAAAGGGCUCUGCACUUAUACUUCACUCCUUCACCAUUCCAGCCAUCCAAGGCUUUGCUAAAGAGUUCAGUCAUGCUGAGCUGAAUGUGGAGUUUCACAUCAGCACCACUGCAGCAGUCACUAGAACAUGCUGUGCCACAUUCAGAGCAUCCUUGGUAAUACUUCUUUCUCAGAAAACUGCAUGGCAUGAUUUCAGGACUGUUCCCUAGCAUAAUCCAUUACAGUCUCCCAGCAGCAUUAUUCCCUUUCAGUGCUAUUCACACAACCAUUUUAUGUAGCUUCCUGUUACAGGUCUGCAGUCUCAUCAGCACCUCAUCCUUACUGGAAAAAGGGAGCUGGUCACAGACUCUCAGAGACUGGAAACCUCACCAUGUGCAAGACUAGGGAUUUGAUGUUUUUCUCCUUUUGUUACUUUAUAGUCCUUUAAGGUCAUUAUUACCCAAUGCAAUGGAGGCAAACCCACAGAAUACAAAGAAACUAAACCCAUACAGAACAACAAGAAAAAGGAAAGCAUUUCCACAGUCAGGCUCAUUUCGAUGCCAGCUGCUCUGCUUUUCUACCACGCCAUGUCACCUACCUACACCCAGUCUUUCAACUACAGAAGCAAAGAAUCAACUACCAACAGCUCCCAACUUCUCCUUUAGAGCCGUUCUAGUACCCUGCAGUGUGCAAUCUGUGAGAGCACAAUUAUCCCACAAGUGGCUCAUUCCACCUUCUGGGAGGGUGAGCGCACUGGUUCAUGCUGUUCUUCUUUCUGUCACUGCUGUACUUCCUUUUUCCUGCAGUAAUUUACAGUAGCAGUGGGAUGAUACAACUCACAAGCACAGUAAGCAUUACCCAAAAUGGAGAAAAUCCUGAGCUGUCUUUUGAACAGUACAUCAGAAAGAACAAAAAAACCUAUAUAAUAAUAGGGAUUUAGGAAGGUUACAGUUUGUCACUAAUGGAAACAAAAUGGCUUCAUGUUACAAGAAAUACAGGAAAAAUUCUAAAAUAGAAAUCUUGCUUGAGGACUGAUCACAUUCCGUGUCUCCUACAGGGAAGGCUACAUCCUUGCUAAGCAAAGCACACACAGUAUGGAAUUCAGGUUCCUUUUAUUUUUUUUUUUUUUUGACAUGUAAGGCUUACUAUGCAGCAGAGUGAGCGCCAUCAAUGAUGUACUUGUGCCUGUCCAAAUCUCAUAACCUCUACAUUUAACAUCUGAAGUUUCCAGGAAUCAGUACUGUGGAUGAUGACACUGCUGCUGUGCAGGGCAAGAUCUGCCACAUGCAGAGAGAGACAAGCUGUUAUUUUGCCGCUUUAAAUGGUAAUUUUAAUCUGCUGCAGCAUUAGUGUUCUUCAGCUGCUGGUUCAAGUAUUGUCUAGAAUAGGAAGGUCAGACAGUUUAUUUUAAAUUCCUCAGCAGCAGAGCUUGGUCAACAGCUCUAAAAGCACUUGGAUCAACCAGAAGCCCUAACCAUGAGGUACACCCUGUCAUCAGGCCUGUCUUGGGGAUGUUAAUUUCAGCUGCAGUUUACAAUGGGCAAGGUCUAUUAGAAAGCCUCAGUGUUGGCAUAGACCAGAAGAAAUCUGUGUGAUUAUCCACCUACAAGCCCUCCCUUACCAGCUCUGUGGGAGAAAACACAGCUUCUGGAAAUACCAUCAAAUUCCAACAGCUAUCCUUCCUCCAUUGCAGUGAAUCUUGCUAACCACUUUUAAGACCAGGUGUCUCUCAUCUCUGUUUUUUACAAUGCCUGUUCUGAACACUCUCUGUUACUAGCAUUUCACUCCAGCCUCUUCCCAUAUGGCUUUGACGAGUUCUAAGCAGAAAUAAAGGAAACGCUUGCAUGUUUUAAUAA
Catharus ustulatus (Swainson's thrush) is the source of this 2868-nucleotide long non-coding RNA. RefSeq lists it as uncharacterized. The transcript is spliced from 2 exons. Lineage: Eukaryota; Metazoa; Chordata; Aves; Passeriformes; Turdidae. The record is from RefSeq and is a predicted model, not a curated record.